GGCGUUGGUAAUUGGAUCUGAGCUUCGACCUUUUUACUCUAGCGAGGUUAGGGAUGAAUAGAACACAGCCUGGUCCCUGAUGCCCGGUUGAGGAUUAAGAUCUGGUUCCUUAGACGCUUGGGAAUAGUCAUCAGCGUCUUCCAGCCACCUAAACGACAACUCAAGAGAGCUUAUCCGCUACGGAGAGAGAAGACCUCACAGUGGCCCUUACACCAUUCUCGGUGUUAAGAGUUGCAAGUCGAGGAAAGGAAUCCGAGCGAUCUCGGCUUGGGGUUACGCCAGCACUGAGGAAGUGGAAGAAGGAAGAUGAGUCAGACUGGACUGCUAGAGGCCCCAUGACCCCAAAAAAAUUUUUAAAUAAAUUGUGAACCACUGUGUAAA
Long non-coding RNA from Grammomys surdaster, 381 nucleotides. RefSeq lists it as uncharacterized. NCBI's taxonomy places the organism in Eukaryota, Metazoa, Chordata, Mammalia, Rodentia, Muridae. The transcript has 2 exons. The record is from RefSeq and is a predicted model, not a curated record.